Long non-coding RNA from Vicia villosa (hairy vetch), 2151 nucleotides. RefSeq lists it as uncharacterized. Lineage: Eukaryota; Viridiplantae; Streptophyta; Magnoliopsida; Fabales; Fabaceae. The record is from RefSeq and is a predicted model, not a curated record. The transcript is spliced from 2 exons.
CAACAAAUGUCUGAACUUUUGAAUCUGCCAAUCAGAACGCAAUAUCUGUCUCCAAUUUCAGAGUCAUCUUUUCUUCCUCUCUCUCUCUCACUGAUCCUCUUUUUCUUAUUCUUCCUUCUUCUUUGCAGUCUUCCUCUUUUUCUUCUUCUCACUCUUCGUCUUCUUCGGUCUUCCUCUGAUCUGUCUUUGAACCAAAUACAAACAAGCUAUUAUUUGCGACAUCCAUUUACAAAUCAUAAUGAUACUUGCAAGGAUCUUCCAACAAUAAAUCCAAAUUUGAUGUCAACAAUAUCGGCAGCGAAGCUCUAGCCGAAGCCGAAAAAGAAAUCAAACUCAUCUUAAACAUGUUGUUUAGUAUAUGGUUUUAGAUCUUGAAGGCAAAACCUCUUAUCUUCCUAACUUCCUCUGUUGAAUCGCUUCAUGCGGCGUUGGGUAACUACCCCAGUUGUUAAGUAGCAAAAGACUUGAGGUUCUACAUGGUUUGGUGGAAUCGGAUGCAGCAACUGAUGUCAUAUAUGGAAAAGCUGUUAUGUUUGCAAUUGAUCCAAUUAUGCAAGAUUGUUGCUUUUUCUUUUGCUUCUGUUUAUAUAUCAUUUUGUUAUACAUAACAAACAAAUAGUGUAUUUCCCAAAUAUAUGGGAGCUGUUCAGGAAUUUCAGACAUUUUUUCAAGCAUGUUGGCCCUUUUGAAUUUGUGUUUAAGACAAGUUAUCUUUAUUUCAAUUUCACCAAUCUCAACAGAGGAUCGUCCGAGAUGUGAAAUUUAGAGACUAUUAUAGGAAGAUCCUGGGAAUGACAAUUUCAGGGAUGGUUGAUGGCUUUGUCGUCUCCCUAAGGUCCCUUGUCGUCCAAAACUCCAGAAACAUUGCACCAUUAUUGCAUGCUCGACAUCUUCAUUCUCAGAGAAUGCUCAAGGUAAUUUCAGACCAGGUUAGGAUUUCAACUACGGAAAAUGGCACUGCAGUUCUCACUGCGAAGGUAUUUUGAUCGUCCACUUUGACUAUUUUUCGAGUUAAAUUCUUGUGGCAACUACCUUACAUUUAUGCCUGGCAUUUAGUAUGUCGAAACUCAAGUGCUGUCUGCAAUAUGGUCAAUUUGAACAUGUCCAUAUGUUCAAAAUCAGUAAAAUGCUGCUGUGACGUUUCGACUUUAUGUCCAUAUUUCAGAAUUUCAUCAUGAGUGUUUGAUGAAAUAACCGUAAAAGGAAAUAGGAGUUAGAAUUGGUCAGGAAAUUCUGUGUGGAAAAUUUAAUUGACUGGCUUUUCUUUUUGUACUGAAUUCCUCCACAAUGGGAUCAUAUGCGUGCUGAACUCUAAUUGAAUGGUUGUAUGUUGUUAUCUGCUUUUGGGCUGAUUCAGUCUUGAAACGUAUAGUGCGCAUAUGUAUGUUGUAGGGGCUGCAAUAGAAAUGCAUAUGAACGUGUGGAUUCGAAGGACUUUCAGUUUGUGCCGAUUCGAAUAUGUCAUGGGCUGGCCAUUUGGUAAGUGUAGACAUGUAUGUGUGGCUAUGUAUUUGUAUGAACUUUGGUAGAGCUGCUGUAUGUAUUCUUUUUUUUUUACAGUAUCAGAUAUUUUUGAAUAUGGUAGUGUGUAUGUAUGUAUGGUACGGUUUUGAUGUCUAAGUCAUGGAAUGAACUUGUAUGAUUUCUGCAUAAUGUGUUGUUCUAAACUGUAUGACCUGAAUGUAGGUUCUGAAGUGGUUUUUCUUGGAUUGAACAUGACGAUGAUAAGUGUGAGCAAGGCUAUAUGUAGCUAUAUUGUUUAGACCCUUUUUUAGAAUUAAACUUGUGGAUUUUAAUUGAUGACCUUUAUGUCCAUCCUGCAUGAUGAUGUCUAUAUUACCUUGAGUGUGACUUGUACAAAAAUGAGCUUGUACUGAUGCAAAUUCUAGAUUGCCUUUAGAUUGUUUAAGGUAGUGCACUAUACUUAGCUGAAUGUGUGAAGUGACGCAUAGCUAAUUGUGACGUGCUACCACCGCUGAUGUAUUUCCUGAAGGUUUGCUUAGUCUAUUGAUGUUAAGGAUGCAUAUGUAACCGUCUUGAAGAGGUGCGGCGGAUGCUACGCACUGGUGGACAUGGGUGUCAAUUGUUACAUUUUUAGCUUUGCUUUUAUCCUAAAUCCACUUUAACAGGUAAUAGUUGGCCUGUCAUAAA